Molecule: ribosomal RNA, 484 nt
Filed under: uncultured bacterium
Lineage: Bacteria
Description: partial 16S ribosomal RNA
Rfam family: Bacterial small subunit ribosomal RNA
Source: RNAcentral
AUUGAACGCUGGCGGCAGGCUUAACACAUGCAAGUCGAGCGGAUGAAGGGAGCUUGCUUCUCGAUCCAGUGGCGAACGGGUGAGUAAUGCCUCGGAAUCUGCCUACAAGUGGGGGAUAACGCUCGGAAAAGGGCGCUAACUCCGCAUACGACCUGAGGGAGCAAGCGGGGGAUCUUUGGCCUCUACGCUAUUAGUUGAGCAUGGGUCGGAUUAGCUAGUGGGUGGGGUAAAGGCCUACCAAGGCGAUGAUCAGUAACUGUUCUGCGAGGAUGCUCAGUCACACUGGAACUGAAACACGGGCCAGACUGCUACGGGAGGCAGCAGUAGGGAAUAUUGGACGAUAGGCGAAAGCCAGAUCCAGCCAUGCCGGGUGUGUGAAGAAGGUCUUCGGAUGGGAAAGCACUUUAAGUAGGGAUGAAGAACAGUAAGUUAAUACCUUGCUGUUUUGACGGUACCUACAGAAUAAGCACCGGCUAACUUCGUG